CUUAAAAGGAUCUAUUAACACAAGUCAAGAAAUUGCCCAAGAAAUGGCUUAGCCUGUACAUAUAUUACGUACUAUAUUACAGAAGCAUCUUUAGCAAGGAUGAGGCUCUUCUUUUCUCGGCACUGUGU
Molecule: non-coding RNA, 128 nt
Organism: Tinamus guttatus (white-throated tinamou)
Lineage: Eukaryota; Metazoa; Chordata; Aves; Tinamiformes; Tinamidae
Source: RefSeq, a predicted model, not a curated record